GGAGGAGAAUAUGUCCCGGGUGGGCUCUGGCUCUGCUUCACUUGGAGUACUUUGUUGCCAAUCUGAUUUGGUACUUUAAAUGGACAGCCCUUGAUGGAGACGAUAUUGAUCUGUCCGAGAAGCAAGAGUUCACCACUGUCAUGAAGAAUCCAUUGCGAGCUCGAAUCUCUCCUAGAGUUCCAUAAGUUUAUAUCCGGUAAUUACUAUUACGACUUAUCGUGAAGUUUUAGUCGAAAGUUUAUGCAAUAUUCACUUCGAUCUCAUGUGUUGAAACUCUAUAUGCAUAUUUGUUCUAUAAAUGAAUCUACGAUUUCUCGUUUUUAUAGGCUCUUUCGAUGUUCUUUUUGGGUUGUCACUUUUGAACACUUCCAGAAAUAUAAGCUCUUCCUGAAAAGGAAUAUGUGAUACCGGCAUGUUUCACAAUAAUAUCAUACUAUUGUAAUCGAAAAAUAUAAGUUCAUCGGUUGAGCAGAUCAAGUUCAAACAAAUCACAAGAAACUCUUGAGAAUAUCUGCAGCUUGAAUGAUCGACUCACUUUGAGUAUUUUGUGCUGUGAUCAAUGUGCUAAAGCAUAAGAAUGACCUGCCAGAGCUCCAUCUAAAGAAUUUUGCCAUUUGUACUUUCUUAAAUUAUAUCAAUGUUGACAUUUCCUUUGUUACUCCACAAAUGCUAGGACGGAAAAACUGUUUCUAUUUUUAUUUUUAUUUUUUUAAGUUGUGGAAUGACAGUUUGCCACAUUUAUCAAAUGACAGGAUAAAUGUGGCAAACUGUCAAAUUUUGUGUACAUCAAGCAUGAUUGCCAUCUAAUGUAUUUCUUCAUACAUUAGUCAAUUUUUAGCUAUAACUCCAAGGAAAUGACAAGUAUUCUUUAAGCCACUAUUUGGUAUAAAUUAAAAUCAGAUUUUAGUAGAUUUUGAAAAAAGUUGUGGGUAGGUAAAAUUAAUCGUUGACUUUAAUUUGAGAUUUUAAUCCAGAUCAAACAGGGGUAAGAAUUUUUUGCCUUGACAAGUAUUUCAGGUUUAAUGUUCACUUUGACAGCGUAACUAAUUCAGCAAAAUUCCCAGUCAUCUUUGUCUUGAAUUUGGGAUAUAAAUUCCUUUAGGGUUAGUAUUCAAGUUCCUUGGACUUUUAUUUUUUAUUUUUGAUAAUUUUACUCUUUCAGUUAGAUGUCGGGUGCGUGUCGCAUGACCAUUUAAAGUCUAAAUAGAGGUUUUCUGUUAUGUGGAAAUACCACAUGCACAAUUGAGAAUAUGGGUACAACAAAUAGAAUAGUGAAGACAUGGCCAUUACACUUGCAUGAAGUUCACGACUCCUUAAGAAAUUAACACUUUAAAAUUUCGCAAGCUAUUGCGUCCUUUAAAGUCAAACCUCUCUAAUACUUAGAUCAUGGGUUCAUUUGACAAACUUUGGAAUUUAAAAUGAGCUUUUGAGAUCUAAAAAUUGUUUCUAGAUUCGUUUGAUUAAUUUUAUGAAAGUGCUUCUUUUAGCUAAAAAGGUUGUUAGAGAAAGUUGGUCGAAUGUGACUUUCUCUAAAAGCGCUUUCGAAAUCGGAAGUGUUUUCAAAAAUCAGGAUAAUUUCCUUCAAAAACUCUUUAACAGAAAGCAAAAGUAAAACAUAUAUCAAAUGAGUCCUAAGAAUUCUUAGGAGACUAUAUCUAGUGAUAUCAAGUUUCAAAAUUGUGUUUAUUCCUCUAGGAUUCCUGUCAAUCUGAUGAACCAUUUCUUGAGCAAUAAGAACGUUAGUUACCCACGCGUCUACCGGGUGGGAAACCACUUUGGUUAUGGGAGAUUAAUAGGGGCAGAUAUUUGUUACGUAACAUUACAUAGACUAAUAGGCAUCAUCAUAACCUUUCCAGAAUUAGUACUAGUGCAAUAGUUGUGAUACCUCUCGGGAAGAUCUUACCACCAAAGAAGUCUUGUACUGCAUCCACUAGGUACGGGUUUAAUGGUUAACUAACAAACAUAACAAACAAUUAUUCUUGGAGUACAUGGUAGGUGUUGUAGGGAGCACUUGGGUUCACGGAAACCCUACCGAGCACUCUAAUAGACCCUCAAUCCACACAACACACCAAAGGCGCAAGCAAAGAUCAAGGGCAAUGGGCACAAUUGCAGACCAAUUGCAUAAUUACAGCACCAAUUGCAGUAUAAAUAAGGGGAAUAAUCACGUUAUCAACAUUCAGAAAUUGGGAGAUUCCUUAGGAGAGUGUGGGCAUCUUGAAUGUCCAUUAAUCUUGUUAUUUUUUUCCAUUUUUUUGUAUAAAGAAUCUGCUUCCCGGAUCACAAGUUCGUUCCUCUUGUAAUCACUGUUUGGUGGUUAAAUUCUCAUAAUAAAACUUCUAUUCUGGUUUGGAUCUAUCACACUCACAGCAUGGGGUGGGUGAGGUUUUUGGCAAUUUUUUAUGCAGGUGGGUCCGCGGUUGGUAAGGGUUCUAACCUGAUAAAACAGCAUUAUUGUAUAACAAAAGAAGGUUGUGAAUCCACCCUUGCCACAUAUUUUGAGUCUGUAUAAAUAAACACUAGGCAUUUAAGCUUUUAAGGCAUGCACUAUCUAAGAUUUUAAUAAAAAUCAUUAUUUGUUAGUGAUUACCGAAUUACCUCCAUUGAUGAUUGUCAACGAAAAUGUGUUCUUGGUGUUGGCAACAUCUGAUAGUUCUUUUGUAAGACAUGCAAAUUUUUUUCUUUUUAUAUUUUUUAUUUUAUAAACUGUCGACGAUUAAGUUCAAAUAUCAAUUUUUUAUAGUAUAAUAUUACUAGGAAAUAAAAUAUUCUUUAAAUUUAUUAUUCGUGAUGGAAUUUCCAUUAGUAUUUGAUUUUUUUACUGCUUUAGUAUUUAAAAGGAGUGGGAUAAUGACUUGAUUCUAUGCCAAAGUUAUGAAAAGAUUUGUAAAAGGCCUACAAUAGACAAGGCGAGAUCAAACAUUCCAUUCUAGAGCAAUCAUUUGAUUCGAAAACAUGGAGCGCGGCAAAGCCAAGAUCCAAACACAGCUUAACCUCUUGGAUUUCUUAUUUAUUUAUUUGAUAUGUAUAUUUUUGUUAGUACUAGUCGACGUUGAACGUACGUUGCAUGUUAUUAUGAAAUGCUUUAUAAAUGCUGUAAAAGUAAUAUUUGAAUAUGCGUGAAUGUUAAUUAAUUUAGAAUUUAUACUAAGGAAUAUAUACAUGACAAUGAUCAUUAAAUUAUCUAUUUAAUUUUCAUUAAGUAAAAUUGAAUGUUAAUUAUCAUACAUAAAUGUGAAUAGUAAAAUGCAUUCUUAAAUGUAAAAAUCUAAUUAACUUAUAAUUAGAGUUAAUAACAUUGAAAUGCAUAAAUGAAAAUGAAUAUUAAUUAAAUGAAUUUGAAUGUUAACGAAUUUAUAAUUAAUAAUAAAGAAUUCAUAUAUUAACGAGAGAAUAUAAGUGAAAUGAAUUUGUCAAAUGUACAUGUACAUUUAUGGUAACUAAUGGUUUAAAUAAAUUAAAUGCAACUUGAAAUAUGAAAACUAAUGUAUUAUUAAAAUAAUGGAAUUAUAGCAAAGCUAAAAUAGUUCUAAAAUUGAUUCUUACUUGAUGUGAUAUUUAAUUUCAAUUAAGUAAAAGUUGGAUAUCAAUUAGCAUAUAUGAACGUGGAUAAUGAAAUGAAUUCUUGAAUGUGAAAUUCUAAUUAACUUAUAAUUAAAAAUAAUAACACAGAAAUGCAUAAAUGAAAAUGAAUAAUAAUUUAAUGAAUGUGUAUGUUAAUGUUAAUUAUUGAAAAUUAAUAAUAAGGAAUUCAUACAUUAAUGAAAGUACACAUGUGAAAUAAAUCUGUCAAAUAUAUGUGUACAUUGAUGAUAACUAAAUGAUUAAAUAAAUUAAAUAUAUAUUGAAAGAUGAAAAGUAUAAUAUUAUUGGAAUAAUUGAAUUAUAGUAGUGUUAGAAUCAUCCAAAAAAAGGAUUCUCAGUUAAUAUGAUAUUUAGAAUAUAAUAGUUAAUGGAACAAAUAAUCAUUGAUGGAAAAUUUAUCUUUGAUCAUCAACAAUUUAUGGUCAACGAUUAUGAUGGAAAUUAAAAUAUGUCUAAACUUUGAACAGAGUUACCAACAACAAUAUUAAUGAAUAUUUGUCAUCGAUUAUCAAAGGUAAUAUUGUACACUUGUUGAUAGUAUUUCGUUUACAGAUCCUGUACACGGAGUCAUUGGUAUUGACAAAGCUUUAUAUUUUAUUUUUUAUAAGUUACCAACAAAUAGAUUGAACUAUCAUUUUAUUUUUUCUUAGUGUAUUAUUUAUUGGUCACAAAUUACUCAUUUUAUUGAUCACAUCAUUCAAAUAAUGGGUCACAAUAGCUCUUCAGCUACCCCACCACCACGCAGAUCUGUACAUCCAUUAUACCACUACAAUCAAAUAUGACAUUGCAACCCAUCACUACAAGGUCACUAGCACACCACAACAUCAACCGCACCACCACGACAGUGUAAAACCCAUCACCACUAAGUAUCUUUGUAGCUACGACGACCAGAUUUUCCCUCGUUAUCCUGAUGGCAAACUCAGUUACCACGGCAGUGAAACUUGUGUCCUUUCCAGGAAACUCACUACCAUUAAUGCUGCAAUUUCUAUUUUUGAAGAGAGAUGUGUUUCCACGAAAAGAAUGACCAAGAAGCGAAAGAAGAUAUUUGCUGACGAUUGGUAGGGCAUUGUGUUCGAUUACAAAUGAGUGUGUAUAACAUGUUUUUAAGCCAUUGUUUUGGCUCUAUUUUAAUGAGGUUUUGGGACAAAUGUAUUUUAGGAUAAUAAUAUUAUGAAGAAUGUAUACUAAAAUAUCAAAAAAAAGGUUUACAUGCAAUAUAAUUUUAUUGAAAAAUGUGUUGUUGAAAAUAGAGAAAGAGAAGAAUGCAUUAAAUUAAAAUUUAGCCGAAACAAGGGCUAAAUUAAAAAAGUCAUAACUUGAUUUUUUAAUCAAAAAAUUAGUAUAUGAUUUUUGAAAUUAAAAAUUAAAAUGUAAGGUUUAAUAGAAUUUUCUCAUUAUUAAAUGAGAAUAUUAUCUUUUGAUGUUUGCAAAAAAUAAAAUAAAAAUUAGUUGCACCAUAAGGAGUAAACUUAAUGGGGGAAGACUUGAUUUAAAUAGUUUAACAAUGAUUAUACUUACAAAAUAUCGAGCUUUAUUUUUAAAAAACUGUGAUUGACAUACACAAAUUUAUUCCCAAUAAAUUCAAAAUAAACACUCAAUAGUUUAAUGAUUUAAAUUUUCCCUAUUUAAAUUCUGAAUAAAAUUUCAAAUAUGAUUUACCAAUAGAAGAAUGAAGAAGAAACAAUCCAAUCUUUAAUGAUAGAUUUUUGCCACAUGUAAUCCCUCCGGAAUACUGUGAAUAAAAUAUCGUCAAAAUAAUAAGCACCCACACCACCCUUUUUUGUUUGUUAUUUGGAGGGAUUCUGUGAACCCCUCCCCGUACUUGUAGUCUCUCUCUUAAUGAUAUUGUCUUAUAUGAAUGACCAAAUCCAUGUCAAUGAUGAUUCUUUCAUAGUUAUUUUAAAAUAUCACUAGGUGAAGAAAAAUUAAAGUGGAAAUUAAUUAAAAAAAAAAAAGCAUUUUCCCAAUAAUGAAUAUUUGAAAUUUUGUUAAAACAUUGAAUGGCCAACACAAUAGAUCAUAGGCUCUACAAAGACAUGCUUAGUGGGUUGUAUCUUAGCCCUCGUUCCAUGUCAUUAAAAAGAUUUUGAUAAAAGUUGAUGAAGUAUGUAGUUGAAAAAUUGAUACUUUCAUAAAAUAUGUGGUUAAAACUAAUUGUUGAUUUUAUAUUAGAUUAAAAUUAAAAUUUUAAUUUCUACCAUUAAUUUUAAUCUCUACCAACCAGGGGUUCAGUGUCUGACCAAAUCUAGAACUCAUCAAUUGGGUUGAAAUAGUGCACGUAGCAGUGCAUGGACCUCAUUUUUCAUGAGUGCAACAAGGAUUUAGGUUCUAAGAUGGCUCGAAAGUGACAUUAGGUACGAUAUUGUUGGGCCACUUAAAAUAGAAGAAACCAAUGAUUGUGACCCAAUAAGGCUGACCCAGUUGCAUUACUUACUUGUUGCCUGAUUUCAAAAUGCGACUUUAGUUCUAUUUAAAAUUGUUGAGAUGAUGACUAGUAACUACACUGGUGAGUCGGUGAUCGUUGAUGACUAGGAUUAAUUGCUUUAUAUUUGAAGCCCCUGUUUGACGACCAAACUAUGGAAAACAAAGUUUUGAAUGAUAUUUUUUAGGAGAAUAAGUGGUUAAAAAGUAGAAAAAAUUUUGAAUUUACGUGCAUAAUAUUUUAUUAUAUAAAUGUACAGUUGAAAAUAAGUAUGUAGAAAAAAAAAUUUGAAAAUAAUUGUUGUCAAAUAUGGGCUAAAUAUUGUUAUCUCUCAUUUGAGAGAUUACUUUAGGGUUUGUUCUGUUUUUGUCUCUAGUGUGUGUUUAUUUAUUAUUUAUUAUUAUUAUUAUUUUGGUGUUUUGUCUUCUUUCUAAAUUUCUCCUUUCUAUUUAAGGUCGAUGUAAAUAGAUAAUAUGGGAGUUUAUAUACUGUUCUAGGUGAACAGUAGUCUCUGAUUACUUGGAAAUUGAGAGAGAAAUCUACAUCAGAGAGCUUCUUGAUUUUGAUAUUUGGUGUAUUAUGUUGUAAUAUCGAACAUUUUGGUUAUGCUAGUGGAUUUAGAGGGUUAAAUACAUUUGUGGAUGAUCAAUGUGCUGAGUAGACCUUUAAGCUGAACAUUUGAGCCCUUGUGAUGAAAAAUCUUGGUGUUUUCGUUUUACUUUGUUAUAUUUUAUGUUUUUGGUCAUUUAUGGGACCAACAAUGGUAUCUGAGCCUUUGAUCUGAAGUAGAACUACUUCGAACCUUCUUUACUUGACUUUCUAUGGUUUUAAAACUCUAGAUUUGUAUAGAUUUAGAAAUUUCAAGGGUGAAAUCUGGUUUUUUUGGAGAUUGACAAUGGGUUCUUGUAAUAUUUUAUUUUUAUCUUGCAUAUUAUUUGAACUUCCGAUAACAUACUCUAACCCUACUUUUAAAUUAUUUUUUUGGUUCAAUCACUAUAUUCUUGGAUCUCUUGACAUUAACUGUCUUAGAGCUUCUUUUGUACAUGUUUUUAUGCGAGAACGUUAGAAUUUGAAAGGACUACAACCAAGUUUUAUCAAUCAUUUAAUCUUUGCAAUUUGUAGUUAAAUUGUCCAUUAAAUUGAUAUGUUAGUGUUUGUAUAAUUGUGAGGGUAGACCGUAUGUUAAAAUUGUAAGUUUUGUGGAUGUGGAGUUUUGAUACUCAAUAAUCAGGGUGAUGAUGUUAAACUGAUAUUGGAAAAAAAAUAAAUAUCGACACCCAAGAUUGAUGACUCGACCCUAAGACUAUUUUGGCCAUUGGAAGCAACCUAAUUAAUUAGUGUUGCUCAUGGCCCGAUUUUAUACUCACUGGUUGGCUUAUAUAUGUUAGCCCACUUACCUUUUUUGUAUUGGGCUUGGCCUCAUCACUUAACCUAACAUAACCCAUAUAUGCUAGCCUUCUUGGUCUUCCAUUAUUAACAUGUGUUUUUGAGAGAAAAGUUCCUGCCUUUUGCUUUGUGCUCUUGCUUGGCUAGUUUCUUCUGUUCUUCUCUAGCCUUUGUGGCUAAAAACACCGUCUCUUUUUGUCCUAAGUGGGUACAAAUCUUGAGCAAUCGGAGUGUGGAAGAAGUUUAAGGUUUUGGAUUGUGAUUGCUUGGAUGUAUUGAUAAGAUUGAGAUUGGUAUCUUGAGUCCAAAAUUUCAUCAAUUGGAGGUCGAUUUUUCAAUAUUUGGUAUCAAAGCGAGGUUGGGGUGGAAUUUCUGAUCAAAAUCUGACCAGAAUCAAAGCAGAAAUCAGUCAGAUUAAACUAUCCAGAAUUUUUUUAACUUGCAACCCAAUUUUCGGCCAAUCCAAGUGUCUUUUGGUAAAACGGAGGCCGGAUUCGUGAUUUGUAGGCGGAGGUGGUGUUGGGUGGCCGGCGCAUCUGGGUGACGUGUCAAUGACAGAGGCGUAUAAAGAUUUCGACGACUGCACGUUGGGGAGCGUGCGAGCUCCUUCGACGACGACUUCUUUAGGCAGAAUUUUUCUAACAUGUUUUCUAAUGAUUUUGUAUUGUUAGUUUUCAGUUUCAGGAUACACAAAAAAGUUGGACAUUUUUUCCCCUGGACAUUGGCAAUUGGUUGCUAGACAUUCGUGUUAGCACACCCGCUGAACUUUAGGGCGAAUAGUGGUGGCCCUAAAGCAGUAGAUUCGUAUCUCUCGUAACUUAAGUGCUCAGAUCGCUCUAGUAAAUUGGUUGAAACCUUUGCAUUAUCACAUUAGUAGAUCAUCAUGUGGGGUGAUCAUUAGGAUUGGGGGUCGUCAUUGCUUGUGCUAGAAAAUUUAGGAAUUAUCUGCCCUAUUUGAAGUGUUGAAGUUGAUUGUAGUUGGUAAUUGAUUUUGAGAUCUAAUUGUCAUAUAGUCACUGCGUGAGACUGCAUUGUGUGAUAAUUAGAAUUUUUUUAAUAUACAUGUUGCAUUGAUUAUCCUGUUAGAACAUCUAGACUUGACCCGUUUGAAAAUUCCAUUGAUCUAAGAUCGCGAAUCUUACGAAAUCCUGAGAAUUUAGAACAGUGUAUAUUGCGGCCGUAUGAUUACUUUGUGUGACAUAUCUGUGCAUUUAGUUGCUCUAUUUUCCCAAAAAUGUCUUCACAUUUUGAAGUUGGUGUUUUCAAUGGGUAAGAGAAUUUUUCAAUUUGGCAACAAAGGAUGAAAGAAAUUUUAGUUCAACAAAAAGUUUCAAAAGCCAUAAAUGGCAAAUUUCCUGCAAUUUGACAGAAAUGCAAAAAGAGGAAUACGAUGAACUUGCUUACACUUCGAUUAUCUUACAUUUAUCUGACACAGUUUUGAGAAAAGUUGGGGGAAUUGGAUUCUACAAAAGAACUUUGGAAAAAGUUGGAGGACUUAUAUUUACUUAAAUCCACUCAUAAUAAAUUAUACUUACUUGAAAGAUUUUUCAGUUUUAAAAUGGAUUUUUCAAAGGAUCUUAACGACAAUCUGGAUACAUUUAACAAACUUGUUCAAAUUAUUGUUAACUGUGAUGAAAAGGUGUCUGAAACAUAUAAAGCAAUUAUCUUACUCAAUUCUAUGCCUGAUUCAUAUAGAGAUGUUAAGAAUGCAAUUAAGUAUGGUAGGGACACCAUAACACCCGAGAUUGUCGUAGACUUAUUUAGAAGUAAGGGAAUUGAAAUCAAGGCUAAAAAUGAAGAUAAGAGGAGUGGUGAGUUACACAUGAUAAAAAGUAGGAUGAAAUUUAAGCAAUGAAUUUGGGUAGAGCUCAAAAUAGUAUUGAUUCGAGUAAUGACUCGAGUGAUGAAGGUAGUAAGAAGAAGGGUAAGGGAUGGAACAAGUCUAGUGGUAAACGGUGUUACAAUUGUGGUAAGUUUGGACACUUUAUUAGGGACUAUCCCAAGAAGAAGGAUAAACAGAAGGGUAAUGUGAGAGGUGAGAUGAAUGUGGUUGAGGGGUUGAGUCAUGACCCUAAUGAGGUUUAUUGAGAGCAAAUCUAGUUACUUCAUGCGCAUCUGUGUGUGAUCCUUUUUUUGCAUAUGUGUGAUUGCCUAAUUCUAUUGCAUGAUUAUAUGUUGCAUUUGAAUUUGUUAGAUAUGUGUAUUUGCAUGAAUUUGAGGUAAUGUGAUUAAUUUAUGUGAUUGUGUGCAUGCAUAGUGGGUUAGGAUGCAUUAGCAGCAAGUUAGAUGUCUUUUGAUAAGGUAAAGUAAAGAUGCCUAGAGGUACAUUGUAAUUUGUACCGGGGAUGUGGAGUGUGACAUUUGAAUCACGAGUGGAAAUGUGAUCAAAUGUUUAGAAUCUUUUAUUUGUGAAAGAGACCCUCUACAAGUAGAGUGUGAGAGAGGCACUUCUAUCACUUCGGUAAGGUGGAGAUCCAUUAUUCACGUAGGUUGAGAAAAAUGACGUGGUGAUAGAAGAUUAUCUCAAGAGUUUAGAAUCUAUUGUGACUUAUCAGUUAGACAUGAGUUGAGUGAUUAUCUAUUUAGCAUGGUGGGCGAUGAGAAGAGAUAUAUAUUCUCGAAGUGGAAGUAACACGAAAUGAAAUAGGAUAAGUGUAGUGAGAUUUUUCGUGGGGUAAUUUAUGUAUUUGUUGCACAUGUGUUGAUUAACUUGGUGUUAAUCUAUGGUUCUGUGUGAACACAAUUUUGAAAAGAUCUAUGUAUUAUCAUAUAUAAUAUUUUCAUUGCAUGAUUAUUUGUUCACUGUAAAUACUUGUUCCUACUUGCGUGUUUCUUUGGACCUUAAUCGUGGUGAGUACAUGAACAGUUAUGGUAUGUGUUUCAGGUUCGAAACACGAGAAAAGGUCUAUGAUACAAAUUUUAUUGGAUUACCUUGAUUGUGCCAGUAUAAACUUUGUGUUUUGUUUGCUUGCAGAUUAUUGGGUAUCAAGGUAAAGAUUGUUGGAUUUUGAUACUCAAUAAUUCGGGCGAUGAUGUUAAACCGAUGUUGGAUAAAAAUAAAUAUCGACACCUAAGAUUGAUAACUCAACUCUAAGACUAUUUUGGCCAUUGGAAGCAACCUAAUUAAUUAGUGUUGCUCAUGGCUCGAUUUCACACUCAUUGGCUGGCUUAUAUAUGUUGGCCCAAUUAGCGUUUUUGUAUUGGGCUUGACCCCUUCACUUAACCUAGUCUAACCUAUAUAUGCUAGCCUUCUUGGUCUUCUAUUAUUAACGUGUGUUUUUGAGAGAAAAGUUCCUACCUCUUGCUUUAUGCUCUUACUUGGCCAGUUUCUUCUUGUUCUUCUCUAGCCUUUGGGGUAUCAUCUUUGUGGCUAAAAACACCAUCCCUUUGUGUCCUAAGUGUGUACAAAUCUUGAGCAACCGGAGUGUGGAAGAAGUGUAAGGUUUUGGGUCGUGAUUGUUUGUGUGUAUUGAUAAGGUUGAGAUUGGUAUUUUGAGCCGAAAAUUCCACGAAUUGGAGGUCAAUUAUUCAAAAAUAAAUAUUUUGAUGUUUAACCCUUUCUUUAAAAUUUAUUUGACACAUUUUGAGUGAUUACAUAUCUCAUAAAGGUGUACCCGUUUAAACCAUUGAAACUCUUUUUUUGUGAAAAAUUGGUUUUCAAGAAACUAUCCAUUCUGAAAGGUUUUAAAAAGAGAAGAAAAUUAGUUUUAUCUUUGGUUUUCCCAUAUAUUGCCAACAUUUUUUUUUUCCAAAAGUUAGAUGUUGAGAUUUGGAUUAGCAAAGAGGAUUUUAGUCUCUGAAGUCAGAAAAUGAGAGCUCUAUUUUACAAAAAUAUGAGUUGAAAAUCUUGGAUGAAUCUUGGAUCGAUGAUUUUGAUUCAAUCAAGAAUAUUGAUCAUAUUGAAAUUUCAUGGAGUAAUUUGUUUCUGCAUUAUCUUAUAGAGUGACAAGAGAAGUUUAUAUAUACAACAAAAAAUGUAGCACAAUAGUGGAAAAAAUCAAAAUGUCUUCACCAAAGUAAAAUACUACCAAAUAAAUGUUAUUUGUGGAAGGAAAAUUCCUCGAGUAUGGAGGAUUUUUUCAUAGAUAGCAGUAUGAAAAAAUCAAGUACUUAUAGCAUGUUUCUUUGAAGAAACAGUUUUUAAUAAGUUUCAAAUCUGAUUCCAAUAUAGAUCUUGAAGCAAACAUGGACAGAUUUAAUAAGCUAUCCUUGAAUCUAACUAAUAGUUGUGAAGCUAAAUCUAGUGAUCAACAAUCUGUAGUUUUAUAUAAUACUUUUGUUUGAAAAAUACAAAGAUACGAAAAAUGCUUUAAAAUAUGCUAAAAAAAGUAUAACUGUUGAUAUAAUUGUUUUUUCAUUGAGAAAUAAAGAUUGUAAGUUAAAAAAUGAAAUCAAAGAUUCCUCAACUAGAAUUAGUUCAAUGGUUAAAGGAAAGAAUUUUCAAAAGGAAACAAUAAUAAUAAACUCGAUAAAGAAAACACUGGCGAAGGCAAAUAUUUUAUUAUUAUUUUUUCUUUUGAAAAAAAAAUUGUAUAGUGAAAAAAAAAAUUAAAAAAAUUAAGGCUAAAGGUAAAAGUUGUCAUUUUUGUGAAAAAUUAGGAUUCUUUAUAAAAUAUUGUUUCAAGAAGAUAGAUGAAAUGAAAAACACUCAAAAGACUAAGAAUGUAGUUGCAAUAGCUUAUGAAGAGGCUGCAACUACAAAUGAAAAAGUCUAUAUGGCUAGCCAUUUAAUGGUUAAAGAUGAGUGAAUUCUUGAUAUAGGGCAUGCACUUCAUAUGUCUUUUUAUAAAGAAUGUUUUCCUGAAUUUUUGAAAAUUAAUGGCGGUCGAUUAACUAUGGAAAUUUAUUUUUCUUGCAAAAUAAAAGGAAUUGAAAAAAUGGUUUUAAAUUUUGGAAAUGAUCAUAAUCUAAUUCUUGAAAAAAUCAAAUAUAUACCAGAUUUAAAGAGAAAUAUAAUUUCUCUUGAAAUUCUUAUUGAUGAAUGUUACAAAAUAAUCAUAAAAAUUUGAAUUAUUACUAUUCUUAAUAAUUUUGCUAAAACAAUUAAUACACCAAAGACCAAUGUAAUUUAUGUUUUAAGGGUUGUUCUCUUGGUGGGUGAUCCACUUGUUGCUGCAGUAUCUUAAAAUGGCAUAAAAGAUUUGGUCGUAUAAGUGAUAUAUAUAUAUAUAUAUAAAACAACUAUCUUUCUCUAUUGGAAUUCAUAAAUUCAUGUUGAUAUUGGAUUACAUGCAUGUUGAUAUGUGGGAACCAGCUAUUGUGUGUAUAUAUUAAGGUUUUAAAUAUUUCUUCAUAAUAAUUGAUGAUAUCUCUAGAAAGUAUUGGGUUAUCUUACUAAAGAAUUAGUUUGAUGCUUGCCUGAAUUUUAAAAAUUGGAGACCUCCCAUUCAAAAUCAGGUUAAUAAAAACUUAAAGACUCUUAUAAUGGCAUUGGAUUCUGUAAUGAAGAAUUUGAUAAUUUCUAUAAAACAAAAUAAACGGAGGGAGAGAUUCUUAAGCACAAAACUGUUACAUAUACUCCACAAAAUUCUUUAGCCCAAAAAAAAAAAAAACACGAAUAGGACUUUAUUUGAAAAUGUUAGAUGUAUGCUAAUGAAUUCAUGGGUCAAAAUUAUUUUGGAGAGAGAAGUUGUUAAGACUGCAUCAUACUUAAUUAAUAAUUGCUCUACUAAAUCACUGGAGUACAGAAAACUUGGAUCAAAUAUGCAAUGAUCAUCUUGUUGAUCAAAUAUUUAAUGUAUUGUUUAUGCACAUUAGAAUUAAGGGAGAUUAGAAUUAUAAGUUAUUAAAGGCACAAUCUUGGACUAUGGGAAAUGGGUAAAGGGCUAAGGCUGUAGCUUAAAAAUAAGGAAGACUAUAGUCAUAAUAAGCAUAAAUGUAACUUUUAAUGAGAGUGAGAUGCCUUGUUUAAACUUUAAAGGAGAAAAUUCUAUAAGUAAUGAUGGUCCGGUUAAAAAUUGAGAUAGUUGAUCUCAUUUCUUUAGAUUUAAAUCAAAGAAAUGAUGAUCAAAUUGAGGAAGAACAAACUAAAAUAGAAGAAAAUGCCCUAAAAUUGAACCCCGAGAAUCUUGAGUUUGAAUUGGCUAGGGAUAAAGCCAAGAGAGAAAUAAGAACAUUAACCAGAUUUGGUGAAGCGAAUUUAAUUUCUGUAUAUAAUGUCUAGAAUUUUCUUGAAUCUGAGCCUAAUUAAUUUGAAGAGGCCGUAAGCGGAAAAGAUGCAGACUUCUAACUGGCAACUAUGAAGAAUGAAAUGCAUUUCUUAUUAAAAAAAUAAAAUCUGGACCUUAGUCAAUAAACCAAAUGGAACAAAAAUGAUAGGUUGUAUGUGGAUUUAUAAAAUCAAAUAGGGUGAAUUCAAAAGUAAUAGUAUGAGUAUAAGACUAGGUUGGUUGUUAAGGAUUUCACUCAAAAGCGAGGAUAUAGACUAUAAUAAAAUAUAAAAAGAAGGUGACUCCUACUUUGUGAGCGUUGGUCAAGCUAUUUAUCAAUCAUUUUUCUGUCAUUGUAUCUUCCAUUUUAAAAUUACUUGUGGUAUAAGGCUAUAAGAAAACAUUAUCUACUUCAACAUCCAAACUGAUUUUCUUAUAGAGAUAUUAACAAAUGGAGUCCUUCUGGUUUAUCUUCAUAGUCUCCCUAUUAUGCAUCCUUCCGCUUCUCAAAUCGCUAUUUUCUUCAAUCGCCGGUGCCCGCAAGAAGAACCUUCCGCCAGGACCCAUUUCGGUACCGUUGAUCGGAAACUUGGUAUGGCUGCGCAGGUCUCUUUCUGAGCUGGAAUUCAUCCUCCGCGAGUUCAAGACCAAGUACGGCCCCUUUAUCACCAUCAGAAUUGGCCCUCGUGUCAGGUUUAUAUUUAUCGGCAGUCACUCCCUCGCUCACCGUGCUCUUGUCCAAAACGGCGCCGUCUUCUCCGACCGUCCAAGAGGCCCACCGACGAGUAAGAUCGUGACGAGCAACCAGCACACCAUCAGCUCCGCCACCUAUGGCGCCACCUGGAGGAUCCUCCGCCGUAACUUAACGUAUGAGAUUUUACACCCCUCCCGUGUGAAGUCGUACUCCAUGUCCCGCGGAUGGGUGCUUGGUGGUCUUAUUCAGCGGCUUGUGGUGGCGCAGUCGUCGGAAUCGUUUGUGACCGUAAUCGAUCAUUUUCAUUUCGCUAUGUUCUGUCUGUUGGUGAUCAUGUGCUUUGGGGACAAGCUCCACGAGAAUCAAAUUAAAGAAAUUGAAGCCAUACAGCGGCGAUUGCUUUUGAAUUUUCGUAGAUUCAAUGCGCUCAACUUCUGGCCUCGAUUAGGGAGAAUUUUGUUUCGUAAUCGCUGGAAUGAGCUGAUUCGACUACGCCAAGAACAGGAAAACGUGUAUAUCCCUCUGAUUAGAACUCGUCUCCAAGCCAAACAAAGGCCUAUCAAUCAAAGUGAAGAGCAAGAGGCCGAAGUGGUUGCUUAUGUAGACUCUCUGGCAGACUUACAGCUACCGGAGGAAAACAGAAAGCUAGAUGAGAGGGAAAUGGUGAGUCUAUGCAGUGAAUUUCUUAUUGCAGGCACCGAUACCACAGCCACAGCUUUGCAGUGGAUCAUGGCUAACUUGGUUAAACACCCCGAGAUUCAAUCCAAGCUUUACGAUGAGAUAAUUGAAGUCGUGGGACUGCCUCCUGCAAUGGCAAUGUCUAGUAACAAAGAGUCAAGCAUGCAGCAAAUGGUAAAGGAGGAGGAUUUACAGAAGAUGCCAUACUUGAAGGCUGUCGUGUUAGAAGCAUUGAGGCGCCACCCGCCAGGGCAUUUCGUGUUGCCCCAUCUGGUCUCAGAGGAAGUUGAAUUGGAUGGUUAUGUGAUCCCGAAGAACGGGCUUGUGAAUUUCAUGGUAGCCGACAUGGGUUUGGAUCCAAAAGUGUGGGAGGAUCCGAUGGAAUUCAAUCCCGAAAGGUUCUUAGCGGAUGGUGGGGAAGCGUUUGAUAUAACGGGGAGUAGGGAGAUCAAGAUGAUGCCAUUUGGCGCAGGGAGGAGAAUAUGUCCCGGAUGGGCUCUGGCUCUGCUUCACUUGGAGUACUUUGUUGCCAAUCUGAUUUGGUACUUUAAAUGGACAGCCCUUGAUGGAGACGAUAUUGAUCUGUCAGAGAAGCAAGAGUUCACCACUGUCAUGAAGAAUCCAUUGCGAGCUCGAAUCUCUCCUAGAGUUCCAUAAGUUUAUAUCCGGUAAUUACUAUUACGACUUAUCGUGAAGUUUUACUCGAAAGUUUAUGCAAUAUUCACUUCGUUCUCAUGUGUUGAAACUCUAUAUGCA
Molecule: long non-coding RNA, 15667 nt
Filed under: Olea europaea (common olive)
Lineage: Eukaryota; Viridiplantae; Streptophyta; Magnoliopsida; Lamiales; Oleaceae
Description: long non-coding RNA (OEUR_LNC006783)
Source: RNAcentral